UACGAAGGUGGCGAGCGUUAUCCGGAUUUACUGGGUGUAAAGGGCGCGUAGGCGGAGUUGCAAGUCAGGUGUGAAAUCUAGGGGCUCAACCCCUAAACUGCACUUGAAACUGCAACCCUUGAGUGUCGGAGAGGUUGACGGAACUCCUAGUGUAGCGGUGAAAUGCGUAGAUAUUAGGAGGAACACCAGUGGCGAAGGCGGUCAACUGGACGAUAACUGACGCUGAGGCGCGAAAGCGUGGGGAGCAAAC
Molecule: ribosomal RNA, 250 nt
Filed under: uncultured prokaryote
Description: partial 16S ribosomal RNA
Rfam family: Bacterial small subunit ribosomal RNA
Source: RNAcentral